ACUAAGCGUACACGGUGGAUGCCCUGGCAGUCAGAGGCGAUGAAGGACGUGCUAAUCUGCGAAAAGCGUCGGUAAGGUGAUAUGAACCGUUACAGCCGGCGAUGUCCGAAUGGGGAAACCCAGUGCAAUUCGUUGCACUAUCGUUAACUGAAUACAUAGGUUAACGAGGCGAACCGGGGGAACUGAAACAUCUAAGUACCCCGAGGAAAAGAAAUCAACCGAGAUUCCCCCAGUAGCGGCGAGCGAACGGGGAGCAGCCCGGAGUCUGAAUCAGCUUGUGUGUUAGUGGAAGCGUCUGGAAAGUCGCAGGGUACAGGGUGAUACUCCCGUACACUAAAACACACAGGCUGUGAACUCGAAGAGUAGGGCGGGACACGUGGUAUCCUGUCUGAAUAUGGGGGGACCAUCCUCCAAGGCUAAAUACUCCUGACUGACCGAUAGUGAACCAGUACCGUGAGGGAAAGGCGAAAAGAACCCCGGCGAGGGGAGUGAAAAAGAACCUGAAACCGUGUACGUACAAGCAGUAGGAGCCCACUAGUUGGGUGACUGCGUACCUUUUGUAUAAUGGGUCAGCGACUUAUAUUCUGUAGCAAGGUUAACCGAAUAGGGGAGCCGCAGGGAAACCGAGUCUUAACUGGGCGUUAAGUUGCAGGGUAUAGACCCGAAACCCGGUGAUCUAGCCAUGGGCAGGUUGAAGGUUGGGUAACACUAACUGGAGGACCGAACCGACUAAUGUUGAAAAAUUAGCGGAUGACUUGUGGCUGGGGGUGAAAGGCCAAUCAAACCGGGAGAUAGCUGGUUCUCCCCGAAAGCUAUUUAGGUAGCGCCUCGUGAACUCAUCUUCGGGGGUAGAGCACUGUUUCGGCUAGGGGGUCAUCCCGACUUACCAACCCGAUGCAAACUACGAAUACCGAAGAAUGUUAUCACGGGAGACACACGGCGGGUGCUAACGUCCGUCGUGAAGAGGGAAACAACCCAGACCGCCAGCUAAGGUCCCAAAGUCAUGGUUAAGUGGGAAACGAUGUGGGAAGGCCCAGACAGCCAGGAUGUUGGCUUAGAAGCAGCCAUCAUUUAAAGAAAGCGUAAUAGCUCACUGGUCGAGUCGGCCUGCGCGGAAGAUGUAACGGGGCUAAACCAUGCACCGAAGCUGCGGCAGCGACACUAUGUGUUGUUGGGUAGGGGAGCGUUCUGUAAGCUGUUGAAGGUGGCCUGUGAGGGUUGCUGGAGGUAUCAGAAGUGCGAAUGCUGACAUAAGUAACGAUAAUGCGGGUGAAAAACCCGCACGCCGGAAGACCAAGGGUUCCUGUCCAACGUUAAUCGGGGCAGGGUGAGUCGACCCCUAAGGCGAGGCCGAAAGGCGUAGUCGAUGGGAAACAGGUUAAUAUUCCUGUACUUGGUGUUACUGCGAAGGGGGGACGGAGAAGGCUAUGUUGGCCGGGCGACGGUUGUCCCGGUUUAAGCAUGUAGGCGGAUGUUCCAGGUAAAUCCGGAACGUCACUAACGCUGAGGUGUGAUGACGAGGCACUACGGUGCUGAAGUGACAAAUGCCCUGCUUCCAGGAAAAGCCUCUAAGCAUCAGGUAACAUCAAAUCGUACCCCAAACCGACACAGGUGGUCAGGUAGAGAAUACCAAGGCGCUUGAGAGAACUCGGGUGAAGGAACUAGGCAAAAUGGUGCCGUAACUUCGGGAGAAGGCACGCUGAUGGUAAGUGAAGUGACUUGCUCAUGGAGCUGAAAUCAGUCGAAGAUACCAGCUGGCUGCAACUGUUUAUUAAAAACACAGCACUGUGCAAACACGAAAGUGGACGUAUACGGUGUGACGCCUGCCCGGUGCCGGAAGGUUAAUUGAUGGGGUUAUCCUCGCGGAGAAGCUCUUGAUCGAAGCCCCGGUAAACGGCGGCCGUAACUAUAACGGUCCUAAGGUAGCGAAAUUCCUUGUCGGGUAAGUUCCGACCUGCACGAAUGGCGUAAUGAUGGCCAGGCUGUCUCCACCCGAGACUCAGUGAAAUUGAACUCGCUGUGAAGAUGCAGUGUACCCGCGGCAAGACGGAAAGACCCCGUGAACCUUUACUAUAGCUUGACACUGAACACUGGUCCUUGAUGUGUAGGAUAGGUGGGAGGCUUUGAAGUGUGGACGCCAGUCUGCAUGGAGCCAUCCUUGAAAUACCACCCUUUAAUGGCUGGUGUUCUAACGUGGGCCCGUGAUCCGGGUUGCGGACAGUGUCUGGUGGGUAGUUUGACUGGGGCGGUCUCCUCCUAAAGAGUAACGGAGGAGCACGAAGGUCAGCUAAUCCUGGUCGGACAUCAGGAGGUUAGUGCAAUGGCAUAAGCUGGCUUGACUGCGAGCGUGACGGCGCGAGCAGGUGCGAAAGCAGGUCAUAGUGAUCCGGUGGUUCUGAAUGGAAGGGCCAUCGCUCAACGGAUAAAAGGUACUCCGGGGAUAACAGGCUGAUACCGCCCAAGAGUUCAUAUCGACGGCGGUGUUUGGCACCUCGAUGUCGGCUCAUCACAUCCUGGGGCUGAAGUAGGUCCCAAGGGUAUGGCUGUUCGCCAUUUAAAGUGGUACGCGAGCUGGGUUUAGAACGUCGUGAGACAGUUCGGUCCCUAUCUGCCGUGGGCGCUGGAGAAUUGAGGGGGGCUGCUCCUAGUACGAGAGGACCGGAGUGGACGCAUCACUGGUGUUCGGGUUGUCAUGCCAAUGGCAUUGCCCGGUAGCUAAAUGCGGAAGAGAUAAGUGCUGAAAGCAUCUAAGCACGAAACUUGCCCCGAGAUGAGUUCUCCCUGACUCCUUGAGAGUCCUGAAGGAACGUUGAAGACGACGACGUUGAUAGGCCGGGUGUGUAAGCGCAGCGAUGCGUUGAGCUAACCGGUACUAAUGAACCGUGAGGCUUAACC
Molecule: ribosomal RNA, 2895 nt
Filed under: Klebsiella oxytoca
Lineage: Bacteria; Pseudomonadati; Pseudomonadota; Gammaproteobacteria; Enterobacterales; Enterobacteriaceae
Description: bacterial LSU rRNA
Rfam family: Bacterial large subunit ribosomal RNA
Source: RNAcentral